AAUCAAGCGCGAGAAGGGCGUUUGGUGGAUGCCUUGGCAGCAAGAGGCGAUGAAGGACGUGAUAACCUGCGAUAAGCCAGGGGGAGCCGGUAAUAGGCUUUGAUCCCUGGAUCUCCGAAUGGGGCAACCCACCUGACAGUCGAUUAUAAUUGCCUUCGGGCGGUUUAUAAUCCUCUGAACCAGGUACUUGCGACCUGAAUACAUAGGGUUACAAGAGCAAACCCGGGGAACUGAAACAUCUAAGUACCCGGAGGAAAGGAAAUCAACAGAUACUCCCCUAGUAGUGGCGAGCGAACGGGGACCAGCCGAGCCGUGAAUGUGACCAGAACGGUCUGGAAAGACCGACCAUAGUGGGUGACAGUCCCGUAUGGGAAGCAUGAUCGGACGUAUCAAGUAGGGCGGGACACGUGAAAUCCUGUCUGAAGAUCGGGGGACCACCCUCGAAGGCUAAGUACUCCUUGCUGACCGAUAGCGAACCAGUACCGUGAGGGAAAGGUGAAAAGCACCCCGACGAGGGGAGUGAAACAGUACCUGAAACCGAGCGCCUACAAGCAGUCGGAGGGACCUCGAGUCCUGACGGCGUACCUUUUGUAUAAUGGGUCAUCGACUUGGUCUCACGAGCAAGCUUAAGCCGAUAGGUGUAGGCGCAGCGAAAGCGAGUCUUAAAUGGGCGUCGAGUUCGUGGGAUCAGACCCGAAACCGAGUGAUCUAGGCAUGACCAGGAUGAAGGUACGGUAACACGUACUGGAGGUCCGAACCCACACCUGUUGAAAAAGGUCGGGAUGAGUUGUGCCUAGGGGUGAAAGGCCAAUCAAACUCGGAGAUAGCUGGUUCUCCGCGAAAUCUAUUUAGGUAGAGCGUCAUCCGAAUACCCCGGGGGGUAGAGCACUGGAUGGGUAAUGGGGCCCCACAGGCUUACUGAUCCUAACCAAACUCCGAAUACCCGGGAGUACUAGAUGGCAGACACACGGCGGGUGCUAACGUCCGUCGUGGAGAGGGAAACAACCCUGACCUACAGCUAAGGCCCCCAAUUCGUGGCUAAGUGGGAAAGCAGGUGGGACGUCCAAAACAACCAGGAGGUUGGCUUAGAAGCAGCCAUCCUUUAAAGAUAGCGUAACAGCUCACUGGUCUAAUCAAGAUGUCCUGCGGCGAAGAUGUAACGGGGCUCAAGCCACGAGCCGAAGCUUAGGACUGCGCAAGCAGUGGUAGCGGAGCGUAGUGUGACAAAACCCACGCCUCUUCUGCAUCCUCGGAUGCAUCGGAGGCUCGGGUUUGACUGUGAAGCCGGGGCGUGAGCCAUCCGGUGGAGUGAUCACUAGCGAGAAUGAUGACAUGAGUAGCGACAAGGAGGGUGAGAGACCCUCCCGCCGAAAGUCCAAGGGUUCCUGCUUAAAGCUAAUCUGAGCAGGGUAAGCCGGCCCCUAAGUCGAGGCUGAAAAGCGUAGACGAUGGGAAUCAGGUUAAUAUUCCUGAGCCAGGAGGAUGUGACGGAUCGUGAAGGUUGUUCGCCCUUAUCGGAUUGGGCGGGCCGCUGAUCGGUUCCUGGAAAUAGCCCUCCAUCAGACCGUACCCUAAACCGACACAGGUGGACUGGUAGAGCAUACCAAGGCGCUUGAGAGAACGAUGUUGAAGGAACUCGGCAAAAUACCUCCGUAAGUUCGCGAGAAGGAGGCCCGGUUCGUGGGCAACCAUGGGCCGGGGGCACAAACCAGGGGGUGGCGACUGUUUACUAAAAACACAGGGCUCUGCGAAGUCGCAAGACGACGUAUAGGGUCUGACGCCUGCCCGGUGCCGGAAGGUUAAAAGGAGGGGUGCAAGCUCCGAAUUGAAGCCCCGGUAAACGGCGGCCGUAACUAUAACGGUCCUAAGGUAGCGAAAUUCCUUGUCGGGUAAGUUCCGACCUGCACGAAUGGCGUAACGACUUCCCCGCUGUCUCCAACAUCGACUCAGCGAAAUUGAAUUGCCUGUCAAGAUGCAGGCUUCCCGCGGUUAGACGGAAAGACCCCGUGCACCUUCACUACAGCUUCGCACUGGCAUCAGGCACAACAUGUGCAGGAUAGGUGGU
Molecule: ribosomal RNA, 2065 nt
Filed under: Rhodovulum steppense
Lineage: Bacteria; Pseudomonadati; Pseudomonadota; Alphaproteobacteria; Rhodobacterales; Paracoccaceae
Description: partial 23S ribosomal RNA
Rfam family: Bacterial large subunit ribosomal RNA
Source: RNAcentral